UGGUGGAGCGAUUUGUCUGGUUAAUUCCGAUAACGAACGAGACUCUAGCCUACUAAAUAAGUCGAAGUAUUUUGCCCGUACUUCGUACUUCUUAGAGGGACAAGCGGCGUCUAGCCGCACGAGAUUGAGCAAUAACA
Molecule: ribosomal RNA, 137 nt
Filed under: uncultured eukaryote
Lineage: Eukaryota
Description: partial 18S ribosomal RNA
Rfam family: Eukaryotic small subunit ribosomal RNA
Source: RNAcentral